This 359-nucleotide ribosomal RNA is filed under the name uncultured Ehrlichia sp. RNAcentral describes it as "bacterial SSU rRNA". It matches the Rfam family "Bacterial small subunit ribosomal RNA", at positions 76 to 451 of the family's 1533-position model. Lineage: Bacteria; Pseudomonadati; Pseudomonadota; Alphaproteobacteria; Rickettsiales; Anaplasmataceae. The record is from RNAcentral.
CUGGCUAUAGGAAAUUGUUAGUGGCAGACGGGUGAGUAAUGCGUAGGAAUCUACCUAGUAGUACGGAAUAGCCAUUAGAAAUGGUGGGUAAUACUGUAUAAUCCCCGAGGGGGAAAGAUUUAUUGCUAUUAGAUGAGCCUACGUUAGAUUAGCUAGUUGGCGAGGUAAUGGCUUACCAAGGCUAUGAUCUAUAGCUGGUCUGAGAGGACGAUCAGCCACACUGGAACUGAGAUACGGUCCAGACUCCUACGGGAGGCAGCAGUGGGGAAUAUUGGACAAUGGGCGAAAGCCUGAUCCAGCUAUGCCGCGUGAGUGAAGAAGGCCUUCGGGUUGUAAAACUCUUUCAAUAGGGAAGAUAA